This 439-nucleotide ribosomal RNA is filed under the name uncultured bacterium. RNAcentral's name for it is "partial 16S ribosomal RNA". It matches the Rfam family "Bacterial small subunit ribosomal RNA", at positions 339 to 795 of the family's 1533-position model. The record is from RNAcentral.
CUACGGGUGGCUCCAGUGGGGAAUAUUGCACAAUGGAGGAAACUCUGAUGCAGCAACGCCGCGUGGAGGAUGACGCAUUUCGGUGUGUAAACUCCUUUUAUAUGGGAAGAUAAUGACGGUACCAUAUGAAUAAGCACCGGCUAACUCCGUGCCAGCAGCCGCGGUAAUACGGAGGGUGCAAGCGUUACUCGGAAUCACUGGGCGUAAAGCGCGCGCAGGCGGGUUUGUAAGUUGGAUGUGAAAUCCUAUGGCUUAACCAUAGAACUGCAUCCAAAACUACUUACCUAGAGUCUGGGAGGGGAAGAUGGAAUUAGUGGUGUAGGGGUAAAAUCCGUAGAGAUCACUAGGAAUACCAAAAGCGAAGGCGAUCUUCUGGAACAGUACUGACGCUGAGGCGCGAAAGCGUGGGGAGCAAACAGGAUUAGAUACCCCUGUAGUC